Long non-coding RNA from Drosophila subobscura, 636 nucleotides. RefSeq lists it as uncharacterized. The record is from RefSeq and is a predicted model, not a curated record. The transcript has 3 exons. NCBI's taxonomy places the organism in Eukaryota, Metazoa, Arthropoda, Insecta, Diptera, Drosophilidae.
AUAAGCUAAGGGCUAGCAAGCACAUCCACUUUUUUGUCUUGAGAAGCGACUGCUGAAAUAGCUACGUAAAUCUGCAAGAAUAAUAUAAUGGCAGCGUCGCUUGCCCCCGUGCUGUGUGUUUGAGGGAUCCCAUCUGCUGAUUCACCACCUCCUCAAAGGCCAAUGCAGCAAGCCGUUGGAACAGUUCCGUCACCUUGAACCCGGAACGCGCGGAAACGGACCAAUAUUCGGCCUGAAGUUCGGCGGCGGCCAUGCCCGCCAAGCGCUCCAUUCGGAUGAAUUCCUCCUUUGUCUUUGAGAAAGACCAAUGGUCUGUGGCUUGUAUUGUAGUUGAGUGCGCUGGCCAGCCAUUUCUUGGCCGAUUCCAGGGUAUCGCGUCUCGACAUGUCAUAGGUCACCACAAUAACUAAAGGAAGUUCGAUCUUAAAGGCAGUAAAUUAUGGGUUUCUGUACAUACCACUUGCAUUGCGAUAAUAAGCGCCAGCGAUGCACUUGAAGCGCUCCUGUCCGGCCGUAUCCCACCUGGAAACGAAGCAGAAAUUUAAAUAAAGGAGCGACAGGGGAGAGGUGCCCCACAUACAUCUCCAGGCAGUAAUUGUGACCAAGGAUAUUGAAGUUCUCCAGCUCAAAGUCCAC